Cyprinus carpio carpio is the source of this 1458-nucleotide long non-coding RNA. The record is from Ensembl. Lineage: Eukaryota; Metazoa; Chordata; Actinopteri; Cypriniformes; Cyprinidae.
CCUUGGACUUCAAAAACAUAAAAAAAAAUAAAUAAAUCUUAAAGACCCUGAAAUUUUUAAUGGUGUGUAUAAUAUAUUUACACACACACACACACACACACACACACACACACACACACACACACACACACACACACACACACACACACACACACACACACACACACACUAAUGAUAAUCUUGAAUAGUCAAGUUGGGUUUGAUUACAGUUACAGUUGAGAGGCCUGUCACUAUGUGUGAGCACUACUACACUUGUUUGGUUACGUGAAAUCAGCUUUUCUGUUGUUGGCAGCGAGGCUUAUGUUCAUAAACAUAUACACGUGAGAAAUUAUCAUGAUGCAGCUCGCUGAAAACACACACACAAUUCCUGUAAUACACUGCAAUCUUUAAUAAUUAAUUUGUUAACAGAUGUAGCCAGUGCUCAGCAUUGUUUCUUUCUGCAUUAUUAAAAUUCUACAAUUUUAUUUGCAUUGUUACAGUACAUUGUAGUUUCUGCAUCUGGUGCAAACAUGUAUAGUGACUGAUGUGACAUGCAAAACUGUGUUCUGAGUUCAUAUCCUGUGCAUCAUGCUGUUGCAUGGAUUGAAGAGUGAUUAUGCAUUAACUUAGAAUCAGAGUCAGAAUCAGAAAGUGUGUUUACACACACAAGGAAUUCGUCUUGGUGUCAGGAGCUUCCAGUACAGGAAGUACAAACAUAGUGCAGACAUAUAAUUUAAGGGAAUAAACUGAAAUAAAACACUAAUGAUAAAGAGAAUACAAUAUGCUAAUAAAAUAUAGAGAAAAAGGAAAUAUCAAUAGACAGAAGUGUGAAUGUGCAUAUGUGCUAUUUAAAGAUGAAAAGUUUUGAUAAGUUAUAUACACAUGUGCAGUCCUGAGAUGUGUUAUGUGUGGUUCAGGUGGGAUAUGGCCUGCGGGAAAAAAAUGAUUGUGUAGAUAGCCAGCUCUUUAACCUCUUGUCUGUAAGCAAACUCCUCACCGUUCUGGAUGAGGCAGAUGACUGUAGUGUGGAGCUUGACAGAGGGGUCAGUAGAGGUGCGGUCGUCUAUGUAGAGGGAGAAGAGCAGUGGGGAGAGAAUAUAACCCUGAGGGGCACCAGUGCUGAUCGUGAGAGUCCUGGAUGUGAGUUUACCCAACUUCAUCCACUUACAGAUGGAGAUCCUUGCAUAAUUCCCAGGUCUGUCGAGGUGUUGCAGAAUAUAAUGCAGUCCCAUGUUAACUGCAUCAUCCAAAGACCUGUGAAGAGGAUCCAGCAAGGGUGCAGAUGUCCUUCAGGUAGGCCAGAAAUGUCCAGUAGUUCAUCUCUGCUAAAACUGAUGACUAAACACAUUAAAAAACAAACAAAAACAGCAAAAGAAUGGAAGAGCUCCACACCGAGGCAGCCAUAAGCUUAAUGUUUUAUACCCAAUUUUAAUGAUGCAUAACCGUAAACACAUUACAUUACAUUCAUUUGGUGUGUAU